Small nuclear RNA from Stegostoma tigrinum, 123 nucleotides. The record is from RefSeq and is a predicted model, not a curated record. Lineage: Eukaryota; Metazoa; Chordata; Chondrichthyes; Orectolobiformes; Stegostomatidae.
GUAUUAUAUCAAUGAAGAGGAGGUUAGCACUCGCCUUGACAAGGAAGGGGUCUUUGUUGCCUUACAAUAAACAGAUGAUUAAGACAUGCCAUCUACUUAAUGGCAUAUGAAUUCUUGUUGUGU